This 491-nucleotide ribosomal RNA is filed under the name uncultured Rhodoferax sp. Its description in RNAcentral is "bacterial SSU rRNA". It matches the Rfam family "Bacterial small subunit ribosomal RNA", at positions 8 to 492 of the family's 1533-position model. Lineage: Bacteria; Pseudomonadati; Pseudomonadota; Betaproteobacteria; Burkholderiales; Comamonadaceae. The record is from RNAcentral.
AGAGUUUGAUCCUGGCUCAGAUUGAACGCUGGCGGCAUGCCUUACACAUGCAAGUCGAACGGCAGCACGGGAGCAAUCCUGGUGGCGAGUGGCGAACGGGUGAGUAAUAUAUCGGAACGUGCCCAGUCGUGGGGGAUAACGUAGCGAAAGCUACGCUAAUACCGCAUACGAUCUACGGAUGAAAGCGGGGGACUCGUAAGGGCCUCGCGCGAUUGGAGCGGCCGAUAUCAGAUUAGGUUGUUGGUGAGGUAAAAGCUCACCAAGCCUGCGAUCUGUAGCUGGUCUGAGAGGACGACCAGCCACACUGGAACUGAGACACGGUCCAGACUCCUACGGGAGGCAGCAGUGGGGAAUUUUGGACAAUGGACGCAAGUCUGAUCCAGCAAUGCCGCGUGCAGGACGAAGGCCUUCGGGUUGUAAACUGCUUUUGUACGGAACGAAACGGUCUUCUUUAAUACAGAGGGCUAAUGACGGUACCGUAAGAAUAGACG